This 497-nucleotide ribosomal RNA is filed under the name uncultured bacterium. RNAcentral's name for it is "partial 16S ribosomal RNA". It matches the Rfam family "Bacterial small subunit ribosomal RNA", at positions 28 to 507 of the family's 1533-position model. The record is from RNAcentral.
GAUGAACGCUGGCUGCGUGCCUAAUACAUGCAAGUCGAGCGAACAGACGAGGAGCUUGCUCCUCUGACGUUAGCGGCGGACGGGUGAGUAACACGUGGAUAACCUACCUAUAAGACUGGGAUAACUUCGGGAAACCGGAGCUAAUACCGGAUAAUAUAUUGAACCGCAUGGUUCAAUAGUGAAAGACGGUUUUGCUGUCACUUAUAGAUGGAUCCGCGCCGCAUUAGCUAGUUGGUAAGGUAACGGCUUACCAAGGCAACGAUGCGUAGCCGACCUGAGAGGGUGAUCGGCCACACUGGAACUGAGACACGGUCCAGACUCCUACGGGAGGCAGCAGUAGGGAAUCUUCCGCAAUGGGCGAAAGCCUGACGGAGCAACGCCGCGUGAGUGAUGAAGGUCUUCGGAUCGUAAAACUCUGUUAUUAGGGAAGAACAAAUGUGUAAGUAACCAUGCACGUCUUGACGGUACCUAAUCAGAAAGCCACGGCUAACUACGUG